This 68-nucleotide ribosomal RNA is filed under the name Puccinia graminis f. sp. tritici. RNAcentral's name for it is "partial 18S ribosomal RNA". It matches the Rfam family "Eukaryotic small subunit ribosomal RNA", at positions 1764 to 1830 of the family's 1831-position model. Lineage: Eukaryota; Fungi; Basidiomycota; Pucciniomycetes; Pucciniales; Pucciniaceae. The record is from RNAcentral.
CUUGGUCAUUUAGAGGAAGUAAAAGUCGUAACAAGGUUUCUGUUAGGUGAACCUGCAGAAGGAUCAUU